Molecule: ribosomal RNA, 534 nt
Filed under: uncultured bacterium
Lineage: Bacteria
Description: bacterial SSU rRNA
Rfam family: Bacterial small subunit ribosomal RNA
Source: RNAcentral
CACUGUGGAAUUCGCCCUUAGAGUUUGAUCCUGGCUCAGAACGAACGCUGGCGGCGUGCCUAACACAUGCAAGUCGAACGGAAUCAAGGGGCUUGCUCCUUGAUUUAGUGGCGCACGGGUGAGUAAUGCGUAGAUAAUCUACCUGAUGAUCCGGGAUAACAUUUCGAAAGGGGUGCUAAUACGGGAUAAGCUCACGGGGUCUUCGGACCCUGCGGGAAAAGGGGGGGACCUUCGGGCCUUCUGUCAUCAGAUGAGUCUACGUACCAUUAGCUAGUUGGUGGGGUAAAGGCCUACCAAGGCGACGAUGGUUAGCUGGUCUGAGAGGAUGAUCAGCCACACUGGAACUGAGACACGGUCCAGACUCCUACGGGAGGCAGCAGUGGGGAAUUUUGCGCAAUGGGGGAAACCCUGACGCAGCAACGCCGCGUGAGUGAUGAAGGCCUUCGGGUCGUAAAGCUCUGUCAGAGGGAAAGAAGUGUAUUAUGGCUAAUAUCCAUGAUACUUGACGGUACCCUCAAAGGAAGCACCGGCUAA